AUGCCACCUUCCGUGCACGACACGGAAGGCCUGCCGUUCAUGAAGCAUGGUUGUGUCUUCAGUGCGCACCGCCGGAUGAACGACAUGCCGGGACACGCUAUCCCUGAUUUAUGCCGCUUCAGCUUGGAUGAGUCUCCAUCAUGUGGAACCGGACUAGAAAGCUGCGACAAUGAUUCCCGUUGCCCACCGCUAUGGAUCGUGCCAUCCAUGAAGAACACCUGGGACUGGAACCUGGAGGAGGACAUCAGACGCAAAUGCGCUGGCCUUCAUGAUUCCAGGACCUGGAAUCAUACCAGCCGAUGGUACCAUAUAACUGGAAUUAACCCAUGCAAGUCGAAGAAGGAUUGGCCGGUGCUGCCGGCUGGUGUCAAGUUCGAUCCCACGGAUCAGGAGCUGAUCGAGCACCUUGAGGCCAAAUUGAGUGCUGACAACGUGAGAUCUCACCCUCUCAUUGAUUUGUUCAUACCAACCAUCGACAGCGAGCACGGCAUAUGCUACACCCAUCCUGAGAAACUUCCAGAUGUUACGAAAAUGCCAACUACGUACACUAAAACCUGUAUUCGACAAUACUGCAGGUAUCACACUGAGUGGCCUAAGGAAGAUUUCUUCCAGCACAAUUCCAAGGCGUUCAAAAGGGGCACGUGGACGCGUCGCAAGAUACAGUCGGAGUGCGGCAUGCACGCGAUGUGGCACAACACCGGCAAUACCUUGCCGGUGAUGGUCAACAGCCGGCAGACGGGCAGCAAAAAGGUUCUGGUGCUGCACACCAACAAGAACUUCGACCAGCAGAGGACCAACUGGGUGAUGCACCAGUACCACCUCGGGACCUGGAGCAAGAGAAGGAGCGGGAGCUGGUCCUCUGCAAGAUUUUCUACCAGACGAACACUAGGGCCAGGAGUAAAAAGAUUAUAA
This 912-nucleotide ribosomal RNA is filed under the name Triticum aestivum (bread wheat). RNAcentral describes it as "partial small subunit ribosomal RNA". Lineage: Eukaryota; Viridiplantae; Streptophyta; Magnoliopsida; Poales; Poaceae. The record is from RNAcentral.